RNAcentral lists this long non-coding RNA (1623 nucleotides) under Pongo abelii (Sumatran orangutan). Its description in RNAcentral is "lincRNA". Lineage: Eukaryota; Metazoa; Chordata; Mammalia; Primates; Hominidae. The record is from RNAcentral.
AGGUAGACACUUAGGAAUGGAAUUGCUGGGUCAUAUGGUAAUUCUAUGUUUAACAUUUUGAGGAACUGCCAAACUGUUUCCAAAAUGGCUGCAACAUUUUAUAUUACCAUCAGCAAGAAGGGCCCAUGUGGCAAGGAACUAAGGGCGGUCUCUGGCCAAAAGCCCACAAGUAACUGAAUUCUGCCAAUAACCAUGUGAGUUUGGAAGUGGAUCCUUCCCCAUUUGAGUCUCAGAUGAGUCCCCAGCCCUGGCCAACAUCUUCAUGUGCUGUGAGAGACCAUUAAGCAGAGGACCCAGCUAAGCUCUGCCCAGAUGCUCAAUCCACAGAAACAGAUACUAAGUGUUUGUUGUUUUAAGCUGCUACAUUUGCAGUGGUUUGAUAUGCAGCAAUAGAUAACUGAUACUGCUGUUAAUUGCUUUCUAUUACAAUCAACUGGAAUAACUGCCUUUGUGCAUACAAUCAGGGAUGUAUUUUGGGAUCAAUUUCCAAACCUGAGAUUGUUCAGUCUAAGGGUAAGGAUAUUUAAUGUCGAAAAAUAACACUAAAUUGUCCUCCAAAAAUAUUAUCAAGUGACAGUCAUGCAAACAGUACGAAAGUUCCUGCUUCUCUCCAUGUUCUUGCCAAAUGAAGUAUCAUUGAUCAUUGAAAAAAUAUCAGUUUGAGAAAAAUCAAUACUGCAUUGCUUUGAUUGCAUUUUCCUGAUCACUUAUCAGGGUGAGCAUCUCCUUAACGAAUCCCUUGGCCAUUUAUUUUCCUCUUUAUUCUGAGACUUCUCUCUUGAUAUUUUUAGCUUUUAUCCUAUUUUAAUUGGAUUUCAAUUGGAUUGAACAACUAGAAUGAUGGAAUGAUAUCUGGGGAGCACACAAUGGCCAUUGGUGAUGCUGCUGUUGAUUACCCAAAGUGCUAUCCCAUUUCUUCCCGUGUAUUUACUACUAUUUCUCUUGCAAUUAAUAAGCAAUUUAUGGGAAGAUUCUUUGAGACCAUUCAAAUAUCCUGCACCUCAUUAAAAUAUCCCUCUGGAUUUAGCAGCCUUUGAUGAUUCUUGCCUGAAAAAAACUUUAUUAUGGUAGAUGUAAAAUGAUGAUUUUCAUGUCUAGUACUUCCUUCCACAUUUACCAGCUACAUUCAGCCUUCUUUGUGGAUAAGACUCUCCAUUUUCUCCCAGUUGUUUAUUGUUUUUAUUAGUAUGGACUCACGAUUUCCUGUUCUUCUCAAUGACCUAUAAUUUAUUACUAUCUUUAAUUAUAUUGGUGCUCACAUUUUCCCAGUUUGGCCAGUGGGAUCCCCUCCAAGUUGGCUAUUGUUUCCUUGUGACAUACCCACUUUUUCUUUCUUUCUCUUUCCUUUUGAAACUCACUUCUUUACUUCCUGGCACAACAAUGUCCUUAUACCCCCCUGCUCGAGCCCUGGAAUCAGCCAUUUCUCUGAAAAACCCUGGUUCUUUCAAGUGGACAAAUGUAUUAGAGACCAAAAUUUGGGCACAAGAUGUGCACUUUAACAAGGACCCACUUUAAGUGCAGCUUAGUGAAUUUGAAUGAAUGCAUGAACUUCUGUAACUACUACCACAAUCAAGAUACAGAGUUUCUGUCACCUCUCAAAGCCUCCUUUUCUUGCUUGCUCAU